This 468-nucleotide ribosomal RNA is filed under the name uncultured bacterium. RNAcentral describes it as "partial 16S ribosomal RNA". It matches the Rfam family "Bacterial small subunit ribosomal RNA", at positions 28 to 507 of the family's 1533-position model. The record is from RNAcentral.
GACGAACGCUGGCGGCGUGCUUAACACAUGCAAGUCGAACGGAAGGGCCCUGCUUUUGUGGGGUGCUCGAGUGGCGAACGGGUGAGUAACACGUGAGUAACCUGCCCUUGACUUUGGGAUAACUUCAGGAAACUGGGGCUAAUACCGGAUAGGAGCUCCUGCUGCAUGGUGGGGGUUGGAAAGUUUCGGCGGUUGGGGAUGGACUCGCGGCUUAUCAGCUUGUUGGUGGGGUAGUGGCUUACCAAGGCUUUGACGGGUAGCCGGCCUGAGAGGGUGACCGGCCACAUUGGGACUGAGAUACGGCCCAGACUCCUACGGGAGGCAGCAGUGGGGAAUAUUGCACAACGGGCGGAAGCCUGAUGCAGCAACGCCGCGUGCGGGAUGACGGCCUUCGGGUUGUAAACCGCUUUCGCCUGUGACGAAGCGUGAGUGACGGUAAUGGGUAAAGAAGCACCGGCUAACUACGUG